Molecule: non-coding RNA, 28 nt
Filed under: Rattus norvegicus (Norway rat)
Lineage: Eukaryota; Metazoa; Chordata; Mammalia; Rodentia; Muridae
Source: RNAcentral
UGAGCUGGAAGCAGUCCGAUGACACCUC